RNAcentral lists this ribosomal RNA (468 nucleotides) under uncultured bacterium. RNAcentral's name for it is "partial 16S ribosomal RNA". It matches the Rfam family "Bacterial small subunit ribosomal RNA", at positions 28 to 507 of the family's 1533-position model. The record is from RNAcentral.
GACGAACGCUGGCGGCGUGCUUAACACAUGCAAGUCGAACGGAAAGGCCCUGCUUUUGUGGGGUGCUCGAGUGGCGAACGGGGGAGUAACACGUGAGUAACCUGCCCUUGACUUUGGGAUAACUUCAGGAAACUGGGGCUAAUACCGGAUAGGAGCUCCUGCUGCAUGGUGGGGGUUGGAAAGUUUCGGCGGUUGGGGAUGGACUCGCGGCUUAUCAGCUUGUUGGUGGGGUAGUGGCUUACCAAGGCUUUGACGGGUAGCCGGCCUGAGAGGGUGACCGGCCACAUUGGGCCUGAGAUACGGCCCAGACUCCUACGGGAGGCAGCAGUGGGGAAUAUUGCACAAUGGGCGGAAGCCUGAUGCAGCAACGCCGCGUGCGGGAUGACGGCCUUCGGGUUGUAAACCGCUUUCGCCUGUGACGAAGCGUGAGUGACGGUAAUGGGUAAAGAAGCACCGGCUAACUACGUG